RNAcentral lists this ribosomal RNA (253 nucleotides) under uncultured bacterium. RNAcentral's name for it is "partial 16S ribosomal RNA". It matches the Rfam family "Bacterial small subunit ribosomal RNA", at positions 524 to 776 of the family's 1533-position model. The record is from RNAcentral.
UACGGAGGGUGCUAGCGUUGUCCGGAUUUACUGGGUUUAAAGCGCGCGUAGGCGGCCUUAUAAGUCAGUGGUGAAAUACGACAGCUUAACUGUCGAACUGCCAUUGAUACUGUAGGGCUUGAGUACAGACGAGGUAGGCGGAAUUGAUAGUGUAGCGGUGAAAUGCAUAGAUACUAUCAAGAACACCGAUUGCGAAGGCAGCUUACUAGGCUGUAACUGACGCUGAGGCGCGAAAGCGUGGGGAUCAAACAGG